This 2711-nucleotide long non-coding RNA is filed under the name Marmota monax (woodchuck). The record is from RNAcentral. Lineage: Eukaryota; Metazoa; Chordata; Mammalia; Rodentia; Sciuridae.
CAGGAAGCAGGACGCAGCAGGUGGCGGUACCCAGACAACCUGUGAGGACCUUAUGCUGCCCACACAGGCGGCGCCUGGCACCGGCGUGAGCCCACUGGGUGGCUGCUUGCCCCACCCUGGGUUCGCCCUGCCCCUCCCUGGGUUGCGGCCUCUGCGGGGGGAGUAGGCCCACUGCCAGCCAGGACAGCCUUUGGAGAGGUCACCCACCCUCCCAAGCAGCAUCUCCCCUGGACUGUGGCCACAGAGAGCAGAGGCAGUGGGGGUGGGGCUACAAAUCCUCACCCUCAAAGAGCAUCCCUGGGGCAGGACAAGGGUGGGAUCAUAGGUGGCAGAGGAAACCCUAAGACGUGGCACCCUUGGUCUUGGUCUUCUGCCGCCCUCAGUCACAGAAAUGUGCUUUUUAAAUUAGUUAAUUAGUUCUAAUUAUCUAUACAUUACACUUUGCAGUUGGUUCAUCAUACACAAAUGGAGCACAGCUUUUCAUUCCUCUGGUAGUGUAAGAUUCAGAGUUGCACCAUAUGUGCAGUCAUACAUGUACCUAGGGUAAUGAUAUUGUCUCAUUCCACCCUCUUUUCUAUCCCAUGUCCCCUCCCUCCCCUUCUUCCCCUUUGCCCAAAGUUCCUUCAUUCUUCCCAUGCCCCUCUCCAUUAUGGAUCAGCAUCCACUUAUCAGGGAAAACAGCCUGUUGUUUUUUUUUGAAUAGGCUGACUUUGCUUAUCAUAAUAUUCUCAGCUCCAUAUAUUUACCUGCAAGUGCCAUGAUUUAAUUCUCUUUUAAAACUGAGUAAUAUUCCAUUGUUUACAUAUACCACAGUUUCUUCAUCCAUUCAUCUAUUGAAAGGCAUCUGGUUAGUUCCACAGUUUAGCUAUUGUGCAUUGAGCUGCUAUAAACAUUGAUGUAGCUGCAUCACUAUAGUAUGCUGAUUUUAAGUACUUUGGGUAUAUACUGAGGAGUGGGAUAGCUGGGUCAAAUGGUGGUUCCAUUCCAAGUUUUUAAAGGAAACCCCAUACUGCUUUCCAGAGUGGUUGCACCAAUUUGCAAUGCCACCAGCAACGUAUGAGAGUACCUAUCCCCCCACAUCCUCCUCAGCACUAAUUGUUGCUUGUAUUCUUGUUAAUUGUCAUUCUGACUGGAGUGAGAUGGAAUCUUAGAGUAGUUUUUUUUCUUACAUGACAAUAGUGGAAUGCAUUACAUUUAUAAUUAUCCAUUCAGAGCACAAUUUUUCAUAACUGUAUAUAAAGUAUGUUCACACCAAAUUAUGCCAUUAUACAUGAACUCUCUUAUUUUUUUGCAUUACAAUUCUUAACACACCUUUAUACCACAAUUUAUCAUAUCUCUGUAUGUAAAGUAUGUUGACACCAAAUUCACAUCUUCAUACAUGUAUUUUGUAUAAUGAUGACCGUUUCCUUUCACCAUCCUUGCUUUUCCCCUUCUCCCUCCCUUUCCCUCCCACCCCUAUUCCUUAUCUAGAGGUAAUCUUCCUCCCAUGCUCUCCCUCCCUACCCCACUUUGAGUCAUCCCCCUUGUAUCAGAAAAAAAAAAAACAUUCGGCAUUUGUUUUUUUGGGAUUGGCUAACUUCACUUAGCAUAAUCUUCUCUAAUGCCAUCCAUUUCCCUGCAAAUGCCAUGAUCUUAUUCUUUUUAGUGGUGAGUUCCAUUAUGUAUAAAUGCCACAUUUUUUAUCCAUUCAUCCACUGAAGGACAUCUAGGUUGGCUCCACAGUUAAGCUAUUGUGAAUUGUGCUGCUGUAAACAUUGAUGUGGCUGUGUCCCUGUAGUAUGCUGUUUUUAGGUCCUUUGGGUAUAGUCCAAGAAGAGGAAUAGCUGGGUCAAAUGGUGGUUCCAUUCCCAGAUUUCCAAGGAAUCUUCAUACUACUUUCCAAACUGGCUGCACUAAUUUGCAGUCCCACCAGCAGUAUAUGAGUGUACCCUUUUCCCCCACAUCCUCGCCAACACUUGUUAUUGUUUGUCUUCAUAAUGGCUGUCAUUCUUACUGGAGUGAGAUGGUAUCUUAGAGUAGUUUUGAUUUGCAUUUCUCUGGUUGCUAGAGAUGAUGAACAUUUUUUCAUAUAUUUGUUGAUUGAUUGUAUAUCCUCUUCUGAGAAGUGUCUGUUCAGGUCCUUGGCCCAUGUAUUGAUUGGAUUAUUUGGGUAUUUUUGGUGCUCAUCUCGUUGAGCUCUUUAUAUACCCUAGAGAUUAGAGCUGUAUCUGAUAUGUGAAGGGUAAAAAUUUGUUCCCAGGAUGUAGACGCUGUGUUCACCUCACAGAUUAUUCCUUUUGCUGAGGAAAAAACUUUUUAGUUUGAAUCCAUCCUACUUGUUGAUACUUGGUUUUAAUUCUUGUGGUAUAAGUGUCUUAUUAAGAAAGUUGGGGCCUAGCCCCAUGUGUUUCAGCAGGUGUCAUAGCAGAAUUUUUUUGUAAUUGUCUCUUAUCAAUUUUUGGAGACCAGUCUAAAAUAUGCCCACUAUCUUUAGACAACUUAUGUUGUACUGGAAAGGUAUUUACACAAUCUAUCCAUCUAGGAAAGGUGCCAAUCUCAAUUGUAGAACUAUUUGGACAGUGGGGUGUUCAUGGAGGUUUUGCAGAAAUGACUGGUUUGUCAUGGGAAAGUCCCAUCUUAAUCACUGGUCUAGUAUAAGGUUUUAAGUCUCCAUAAAUAGUAUGAUUAGUCAGUCUAGGUCUCCCAACAGCUGUCUUUUCCUCAAAUGAUAC